Molecule: transfer RNA, 65 nt
Filed under: Dipodomys ordii (Ord's kangaroo rat)
Lineage: Eukaryota; Metazoa; Chordata; Mammalia; Rodentia; Heteromyidae
Rfam family: tRNA
About the family: Transfer RNA (tRNA) molecules are approximately 80 nucleotides in length. Their secondary structure includes four short double-helical elements and three loops (D, anti-codon, and T loops). Further hydrogen bonds mediate the characteristic L-shaped molecular structure. tRNAs have two regions of fundamental functional importance: the anti-codon, which is responsible for specific mRNA codon recognition, and the 3' end, to which the tRNAs corresponding amino acid is attached (by aminoacyl-tRNA synthetases). tRNAs cope with the degeneracy of the genetic code in two manners: having more than one tRNA (with a specific anti-codon) for a particular amino acid; and 'wobble' base-pairing, i.e. permitting non-standard base-pairing at the 3rd anti-codon position.
Source: Rfam by way of RNAcentral
GGUGGCUCAGUGGUAGAGUGCUUGCCUUGCAUGCAUGAGGCCCUGGGUUCAACAACUCAGCACCA